AGAGUUUGAUCCUGGCUCAGAUUGAACGCUGGCGGCGUGCUUAACACAUGCAAGUCGAACGUGAAAGUCCUUCGGGGCGAGUAAAGUGGCGCACGGGUGAGUAACGCGUGGAUAAUCUACCCUUAAGAUGGGGAUAACGGCUGGAAACGGUCGCUAAUACCGAAUACGCUCCCGAUUUUAUCAUUGGGGGGAAAGAUGGCCUCUGCUUGCAAGCUAUCGCUUAAGGAUGAGUCCGCGUCCCAUUAGCUAGUUGGCGGGGUAACGGCCCACCAAGGCAACGAUGGGUAGCCGGUCUGAGAGGAUGACCGGCCACACUGGAACUGGAACACGGUCCAGACUCCUACGGGAGGCAGCAGUGGGGAAUAUUGCGCAAUGGGCGAAAGCCUGACGCAGCGACGCCGCGUGAGGGAUGAAGGUUCUCGGAUCGUAAACCUCUGUCAGGGGGGAAGAAACCCCCUCGUGUGAAUAAUGCGAGGGCUUGACGGUACCCCCAAAGGAAGC
Molecule: ribosomal RNA, 501 nt
Filed under: uncultured bacterium
Lineage: Bacteria
Description: bacterial SSU rRNA
Rfam family: Bacterial small subunit ribosomal RNA
Source: RNAcentral